Molecule: long non-coding RNA, 1148 nt
Filed under: Anas platyrhynchos (mallard)
Lineage: Eukaryota; Metazoa; Chordata; Aves; Anseriformes; Anatidae
Description: lncRNA (ENSAPLG00020016761.1)
Source: RNAcentral
UGUUGUGGAAGUCAUUCAUGUAAGGAGUGUAGUAAGAUGAAUGUGAAAUUUUACCCAGGUUUUGUUCCUCUUGAGAGGGAAAGAAAAUAAUAAUAAUAAUAAUAAUAAUAAUAAUAAUAAUAAUAAUAAUAAUAAUAAAGAGUCUAGCCCAUAAAUCUUGCCCUUACUCACCUCUGGACAUCUUAUGUGUCAGAGACAAACUUGGAACUGUGAGCACCUGACCUAAGAAAAGAGCUCUUCCCUUCGCAGGAGCAUCAAGAAGCUGGAAAUAAAAAGGAUUUCACAUCCCCAGGACCUCUGCGUGGUGCUGAAGAGAAAAACCCUGCAAGAUCUGGAAGACAUUUGUAGGACAGAGCCUGCGUCGUGUACACUGGCUGAGUUGUCAUUGCUUUCCCCAGAGCUUGCUAAAUCAGGACAAGACUCGCUCAGUGCUCCCUCACUAGAUGAUAAUUAUAUUUGAAUAUUAAACAUCCACCCGGCUUACACAAGUUCCCUGAUUAACAAAGCACUCAGGUUUAUCCCCAUGCAGCAGAAGAGACUUGAUUUCAGUUUGAUGAACAGGCACCUAAAUUUAGGUGUGUGCUGAUGGACCUGGCUGGAUGAGGGUUGUGUGAGCAGAAAGGCAAUUUUACCAGUUGCUGGGUUUUCACAACAUGCUUGCAGGCAAAGCAAGUAAUCACUUCUCUGUGUGAUGUGGAACUGGGCUGGGUGCCACUGGUUACUUCAGGAAGCUGACAGAGAUAUUGCCUGAUUAUUCAGUACCAUUCCAGAUGCUUCACAUGCCUUUGGGACUUACACAGAGGAAACAAGCCAAAUUGCAGAAGUCUUGAUACCCUCCUUCAGAUCAAAAAUGCUGGUCGCUGCACAGCCCCAGAACCUCUAACUCCAAACCUGCAUAAUCAGAAGAAAACCAUCCCACCUGCCUGUACAGCUGGCUUGAAAAAUAAGGUGCACACUACAAGACCCUCAACAAUGGUUGUCUCUUCUCCCAGGAUGUACCCAGUGUGUGCUCACGCCUGUCUGCCUGCAGUCUUCCUUCAGCAAAAGCAGCCUGUAAUUCUGCCUGCACCCUGCCCUUCUCCGAAAACACUGAAAGCACAUGUUUAUGCUGUGGCAGCAUUGCUCUGUGGCAUGUCCCAAGUGCCCAC